Non-coding RNA from Mya arenaria, 77 nucleotides. The record is from the annotation of a RefSeq genome assembly. NCBI's taxonomy places the organism in Eukaryota, Metazoa, Mollusca, Bivalvia, Myida, Myidae.
UGUCCGCCCGGAUAGCUCAGUCGGUAGAGCGUUGGACUAUUAAUCGGACAAUCCGGGUUCGAUUCCCGGGCGGACCA